This 1171-nucleotide ribosomal RNA is filed under the name Burkholderia ubonensis. Its description in RNAcentral is "bacterial LSU rRNA". It matches the Rfam family "Bacterial large subunit ribosomal RNA", at positions 1 to 1210 of the family's 2925-position model. The record is from RNAcentral. Lineage: Bacteria; Pseudomonadati; Pseudomonadota; Betaproteobacteria; Burkholderiales; Burkholderiaceae.
GUUAUAGGGUCAAGCGAACAAGUGCAUGUGGUGGAUGCCUUGGCGAUCACAGGCGAUGAAGGACGCGGUAGCCUGCGAAAAGCUACGGGGAGCUGGCAAACAAGCUUUGAUCCGUAGAUGUCCGAAUGGGGAAACCCACUCCGUAUGGAGUAUCCAUGGCUGAAUACAUAGGCCAUGCGAAGCGAACGCGGUGAACUGAAACAUCUAAGUAACCGCAGGAAAAGAAAUCAACCGAGAUUCCCAAAGUAGUGGCGAGCGAAAUGGGAUGAGCCUUGCACUCUUUAUUUGUAUUGUUAGCCGAACGCUCUGGAAAGUGCGGCCAUAGCAGGUGAUAGCCCUGUAGGCGAAAACAGUAUGAAAGAACUAGGUGUGCGACAAGUAGGGCGGGACACGUGAAAUCCUGUCUGAAGAUGGGGGGACCAUCCUCCAAGGCUAAAUACUCGUGAUCGACCGAUAGUGAACCAGUACCGUGAGGGAAAGGCGAAAAGAACCCCGGGAGGGGAGUGAAAUAGAUCCUGAAACCGCAUGCAUACAAACAGUCGGAGCCUCGUAAGGGGUGACGGCGUACCUUUUGUAUAAUGGGUCAGCGACUUACGUUCAGUAGCAAGCUUAACCGUAUAGGGCAGGCGUAGCGAAAGCGAGUCCGAAUAGGGCGUUCAGUUGCUGGGCGUAGACCCGAAACCAGGUGAUCUAUCCAUGGCCAGGAUGAAGGUGCGGUAACACGUACUGGAGGUCCGAACCCACUAACGUUGAAAAGUUAGGGGAUGAGCUGUGGAUAGGGGUGAAAGGCUAAACAAACCUGGAAAUAGCUGGUUCUCUCCGAAAACUAUUUAGGUAGUGCCUCGUGUCUCACCUUCGGGGGUAGAGCACUGUCAUGGUUGGGGGGUCUAUUGCAGAUUACCCCGCCAUAGCAAACUCCGAAUACCGAAGAGUGCAAUCACGGGAGACAGACAUCGGGUGCUAACGUCCGGUGUCAAGAGGGAAACAACCCAGACCGCCAGCUAAGGUCCCCAAAUAUGGCUAAGUGGGAAACGAAGUGGGAAGGCUAAAACAGUCAGGAGGUUGGCUUAGAAGCAGCCACCCUUUAAAGAAAGCGUAAUAGCUCACUGAUCGAGUCGUCCUGCGCGGAAGAUGUAACGGGGCUAAGCCAUAUACCGAAGCUGCGGAUGCG